This 718-nucleotide ribosomal RNA is filed under the name bacterium Bm21. RNAcentral's name for it is "bacterial SSU rRNA". It matches the Rfam family "Bacterial small subunit ribosomal RNA", at positions 674 to 1388 of the family's 1533-position model. The record is from RNAcentral.
UGUAACGGUGGAAUGUGUAGAUAUCGGGAAGAACCCCCAAUGGCGAAGGCCAGGUCUCUGGGCCCGUUACUGACGCUGAGGAGCGAAAGCGUGGGAGCGAACAGGAUUAGAUACCCUGGUAGUCCACGCCGUAAACGGUGGAUGCUGGAUGUGGGGCCCGUUCCACGGGUUCCGUGUCGGAGCUAACGCGUUAAGCAUCCCGCCUGGGGAGUACGGCCGCAAGGCUAAAACUCAAAGAAAUUGACGGGGGCCCGCACAAGCGGCGGAGCAUGCGGAUUAAUUCGAUGCAACGCGAAGAACCUUACCUGGGCUUGACAUGUUCCCGACAGCGGCAGAGAUAUCGUUUCCCUUCGGGGCGGGUUCACAGGUGGUGCAUGGUCGUCGUCAGCUCGUGUCGUGAGAUGUUGGGUUAAGUCCCGCAACGAGCGCAACCCUCGCCCUGUGUUGCCAGCACGUCAUGGUGGGAACUCACGGGGGACCGCCGGGGUCAACUCGGAGGAAGGUGGGGAUGACGUCAGAUCAUCAUGCCCCUUACGUCCAGGGCUUCACGCAUGCUACAAUGGCCGGUACAACGGGAUGCGACACGGCGACGUGGAGCGGAUCCCUGAAAACCGGUCUCAGUUCGGAUUGGAGUCUGCAACCCGACUCCAUGAAGGCGGAGUCGCUAGUAAUCGCGGAUCAGCAACGCCCGGUGAAUGCGUUCCCGGACCUUGUACAC